This 454-nucleotide ribosomal RNA is filed under the name uncultured bacterium. RNAcentral's name for it is "SSU rRNA". It matches the Rfam family "Bacterial small subunit ribosomal RNA", at positions 26 to 518 of the family's 1533-position model. The record is from RNAcentral.
AGGAUAAACGCUGGCGGCGUGCCUAACACAUGCGAGUCGAACGUCCUACGCAAGUAGGGAGUGGCGGACGGGUGAGUAACACGUGGGCAAUCUACCUUUCGGUGAGGAAUACCGGCGAGAAAUCGCCGACAAUACCGCAUACGCUUCGCAAGAAGCAAAGUCGCAAGACGCCGGAGGAGGAGCCUGCGCCCGAUUAGCUGGUUGGUGAGGUAAAAGCCCACCAAGGCGUCGAUCGGUAGCUGGUCUGAGAGGAUGAUCAGCCACACUGGGAUUGAGAACGGCCCAGACUCCUACGGGGGGCAGCAGUGAGGAAUUUUCGUCAAUGGGGGAAACCCUGAACGAGCAACGCCGCGUGCAGGAUGACGCUUCUCGGAGUGUAAACUGCUUUUCUCGGGGAAGAGAACGGACGGUACCCGAGGAAUCACGCCCCGGCUAACUACGUGCCAGCAGCCGC